GGGUGACAGGGAGACAGGUGGUGCAUGGUUGUCGUCAGCUCGUGUCGUGAGAUGUUGGGUUAAGUCCCGCAACGAGCGCAACCCCUAUUGUUAGUUGCCAUCAUUCAGUUGGGCACUCUAGCGAGACUGCCGGUAAUAACCGGAGAAGUGGGAUGACGUCAAAUCAUCAUGCCCCUUAUGACCUGGGCUACACACGUGCUACAAUGGUUGGUACAACGAGUUGCGAGUCGGUGACGGCGAGCUAAUCUCUUAAAGCCAAUCUCAGUUCGGAUUGUAGGCUGCAACUCGCCUACAUGAAGUCGGAAUCGCUAGUAAUCGCGGAUCAGCACGCCGCGGUGAAUACGUUCCCGGGCCUU
This 356-nucleotide ribosomal RNA is filed under the name uncultured Streptococcus sp. RNAcentral describes it as "bacterial SSU rRNA". It matches the Rfam family "Bacterial small subunit ribosomal RNA", at positions 1021 to 1382 of the family's 1533-position model. Lineage: Bacteria; Bacillati; Bacillota; Bacilli; Lactobacillales; Streptococcaceae. The record is from RNAcentral.